This is a long non-coding RNA of Lagopus muta (rock ptarmigan), 4415 nucleotides long. RefSeq lists it as uncharacterized. NCBI's taxonomy places the organism in Eukaryota, Metazoa, Chordata, Aves, Galliformes, Phasianidae. The transcript has 3 exons. The record is from RefSeq and is a predicted model, not a curated record.
GUCCCCGUUGUUCUGAAGGUAGUACGCCAUGCGGUGCACGUCCCGCAUGGUCAGAGGGAUCCCGGACAGAUCCAUGGAGCCCUGGCUCACCUUCUUCUGCAGGCUGUUCUUCAGGCUGGGGGUGGAAAAGGAGAGAGAGGAAUGACAUGCACAGAGCAGGGGAGGGCUCGUUAAGAACGUUCUGCAAACAGAAAGUGGAGCUUGGUUCGUUAACAGGCAUGACAUUUGCACCAUGCCUCUGGGCAGGUUGUGUCCUGGGGCUUUCCUGUGUCUUCUCUGCACUUAAACUCCUCAAGAACUGGCAAACCAUAUGACUCUGAAUUCUUUCACUAAUUCUUCAAACUAGAGGGUUUGUCUGGAUGUGUACAUACAGAUGUUCACAUAUGGACAGCAAAAAUACCCAUGGCAAGCAAAGCUUUCAUAUGCACUGGUUUGCAAUGUGUCUGAGCUGUUUUUUCACCACCUCUCCAGGUGAAUGCUGUGGUCUGUUGCAAACAAAUUAUGCUGCAGUAGAGCAGUGUUAAAAGGCUGUGAAAUGGAUAUUUUAUCAGAAAAAAACAAUCUGUGAGCAAACAGCACUCCAGGAGUGGAUUUACCACGUCCCUUUAAGAGCCUUCCCCAGCAUCCCCCACCUGUAGUUGCUGGUUUGGAUCUCGGUGGUCAGCAAAUCAUUGGGGAUCUGCUGCAGCUGUGAGGAGGUAGGCAGGGCAGCAGGGUGCUGAGAGCAAUCUAGAGAGAUCUGCUUUCAUCUGUGGCCCUUGUUGUUUGCCAGGGGAACAGAGCGAGGAGGAGGUAGGCUGCAGGUGUCCUGCACGGCUGCAGCACAGCCAGUCCCUGGGAGCGAUGGGCACACAGGGAUGUGCAGUUUCCUUGGAGAAGGCUAGAGCACCACAGGAGCUGCCAUGGCAGGUCUUGAAGGAGCUUGUUCAGCAUCCUGGAAAUUGAGUGCUUUUGCCCUGUCUUCACGCUCAGGGAAGCAGAAACUGGAGGAAGUGGUAAGAGCCAAAUAAGAUUUCAGUAAUGAAGGAUGCCUAAUAGUCCCUGCCUGUAUCGCUGGGGAGUUACCAGCUUUCUCCCUCUAUGUCUCUUAUUUUUCUUUAAUUUGCCUCCAAAACUUUGAAUAUAAAGUUUUCCUGGUGCUCCCACCACUGUGCAUCCCCCUCCUUCAUUAACAGGCACUGCCAGAGGUGGCUUAUUAACCACGAGUUGAGUAUUUCUUUGCUGUUCCUCCUUGCACAGAGCCUAAUGGCAGGCAUGUCUGGAUGGCUCCUCUGCCAGCGACUUAAGGGAUGAGCUCUGGGCUUUUUAAUUGCCUACUUAGCAUAAUCUGCUUGCUUUUGCUUCCUUGUGGCACAGGGUGCUGCUUUGAAAGUCUGGCUUCAGCUGCUUCUGGUGAGAUGAGAGAAGCCUCAAGAGCACUAAGCUAAACAAACCCAGUCCCAGCUGUUCUUGUACUUGCAUCUGAUUCUUACCACGUGGCUUUAGUAAACUGACUGGUAUUCUCUAACUUGGCUUCCUAACUCAAAAGCAGAAUGAUGGUGAACAUUUCCUCUGCUGUAUAAAGGAGAAAUGGGAGCUCUACUUAAUAUUCAUCUCAUGCCAUGUGAAGGCUAAGAUCUAAUCUGCCAGAGCUGUCAUCUAUGGCCCUGACUGAUGUUUUCAAGAAGAAAUAAAAAGACCUGAAGCCCUUUAGAGAUGCUUCCCUGCAGUCUUCUAGACACAAAUGCUUUCACUGCAUUUUUAAAGUGCAUCUAAUGCUGCAGUGUCUGGGCAGUGCACAUCAAUAAAUGAGAAAUGGAGCAAUGAGCCCAGAAGGAACACUCAGUUCCCCACCCAGCUUUAGAUUAGCUAAGAUAUUACAAAAUGCAAUUCACUCUGGCAAAUGAACUAAACCCAUAGUGUGACCUGUGAAAAAGGAAACCUGGAUGUAUGCAACUGAGAGUUACUAACUCCAUAUGCACAGAUGCCUUUAUUCUUCCAGAACAGGUUACUGGGUGGGAAACUGAGGCUAUUUUUUCUGCACCAGGAACAUCCUGCUUGUAAAGAUUGCUCAGUUUUCUGCCUGCAUGUUUUAUGGGUUCAGGUUCCAUCCAUUGCACUGAAGAGAGGCAUUGAGCAGCCAGCUCUGAGUGCAAUGCUAGUAGAAGAUGUGCAAGGUUCCCCAACCCAGCUAUGCCAAGACAGUUCAGUCAUCAUCUAUAGCUCCUUAAUGGUGGUACUAGGCUACAGUGCACCCCUUCAGGCAAAGGCUGCGUUAAGCUGAUACCCUUUACACUCUGAACUGCAGUCUGCUCUGGCUUUGCCCUUGAAAAGUAAUAUAUACUUCAGGUCCAGCUCUCUUCUGGAGGAGAACAUACAGUCCUGCAGUGCUGAGCCACAGGAGCUUUGAGAUCUGACAAAAACAGCUGUGUCUCAAAAAACUGCAUCUGUCAAAAUGUUGCAGAAAGGGUUCUUGGUAGUCUAAGUAACCCCAUGUCCACACUGAGAAGCCUUAACCUGUUUCUCUUUAUGUAAACGUCAGUUUAUGGAAGAGAAGCUGGAGUUGUACGGCACCCUGGAAUGUGAUUAGUCAUCCUUAAUGAGCUAAACUAUAUAACCGUGCUUUAACUGAAGUCCCUUCCUAAAGGGAAGAGGCUGACAACUGUGUAGUAAGGUCAUGCUGGUCCCUGCUGAGGGAAAGUUAUCCUCCUGCUUGUAGGCUUCUUACUCGAAAACCCUCAGUAAAUUCCUCAAGAGCUCAGCCUUGGUGUUUGCUCAGGCAGCCUGCCCAAGCAGCACCAUCAGGUGAGACACAGGAUGUCAGCUGGGAGCUACAGACUCAAAAUAAAUAUGUCAGGAAAGGAGAACGGAGCCCUUUGUUUUCAGUGUAGCAAACCUGAUUAUCACCUGAGCAGCUGAAAUAGUCUCUUUGGGUGCGUGAACAGCUGAGACACUGCUAACCUGUCAAGAACCAACUAGCUUGGAUGCAGGAGGGGAUCUGUCUUCCAGCAUCAUCUAUGACAAUCAGGGAAACCAGAGACAGUCUGGACUGGAUCUUUCUUCCCUACUUCAGCUGCUGUUGCGUUCAAUCUGCUGCUGUAAGAUUUCUUCUUCCGUGUUUCUCUGUGGACUCUGUUUCUGCCUGGGGUGUUCAGCUGGUAAAAGCUGCUCUGAUGGCAACCUGUGGCACCUGUUGUGUCCCUAUGAGAUUCACUGCACCUUUGCUGUGGUCACAGCCUCAGGUUAAAGGCAUCAGUGUUAAAGGUGGUAACAGAAGCAGGUAGGACCUAUGGCUUUAGUGGGGGAGCGGGUCUGUGGUUAAGGAUAUCCAGAGAGAUGUUCUUGUCUGAAAGCUCUCAUAGGAUGUUUUGCUAACAGUCUCUGAGGGAUCUGGUUGGGCUCAAUGUGUGACUAAAAUAAGACUGCUUCUGCAUGAUGGAAGUGUGACUGGUCCUUAGCAGAGUUUGCAGUUCCAGUUAUCCUGGGAUCACUGUGUAUUGAAACAGGAGUGCUUGAAGACAUUAAUCUCAUUCUUUCUACUUCAUCAAUUCAUGGGUAGCUCAGGUUUGUACUUACUCGAGAGGGUUGGGUUCCACUGACAGGGAUUAGGAUGUGACUUAGAGUCAGUUCCUGCCCUACAGGUUUGUUGCUUGGUCACAGGGGAACACCUGAUGUGUGGUCGUGCUCGAGUACGGUGGGUCCUUUCCAUCUCCCAGACCACAUCUCUGUAGCAGCCCGAGUGUAAUUAAAACCUGCCAGAAGUUCCCUGUUGUCUGUGUGGCUGAACUUGCUAAUUAUCCCCUGGACCCAUUUGGCACGUUGCCAGAAAGUGGAAAAAGAGAUGAAUUGGGUUCUGUAUCAAACCCAAGAAAGCCCAAGCCCAGAGGAUCACAAAGACAAGGGAAUAUGUUUUCCACACAUUGAUUCCUCUGAACAAUCCCAGAUUUCCACCGGAGAUCAGAAAUACCUUCAGAAGUCUUGCUGCUAUACAUGUACUUCUUACAGGACCUCGAAGGUAGAAAGGUACAAGGCAGGGGCAGGAGUUCAGACAGAGGUCAGAGUGAAAUGCUCUAUAGCAGAUGGCAGGAAGAAGAGAACACAGAUCAGUUAAAAACAGCCUGGCUGGACAGAAUACAACCCUGAUAUCUCGAAGUGAAACAGUAAUUCCUUGCUUUUCUGUUGCCAGCAACAGCCAAAGAUGCCAACUCUGCAGGUGCCUUUUGCCACAAACAUAAACCAGUUCCUCUCCUGUUUUUUAGCAAGAAAGUGCUGCUGUUACAUAUUUAAUUCAAAUUAUUCUGCCUUAUGCAAUGCUCUGCAGCUGUGUCUUGGCUGUGUGUCUGCAGGGCUGCCAACUUAGAGUGCUUGUGGGGCUGCAUACCUUUCAAGUACUGCUCUCCUUCCUUAGCACUGUGGCAGCAGGACUGAUUUCGAUG